GCCACAAUAGAAUCUUAGUAGCGGCGGACGGGUGAGUACACGUGGGUAACCUGCCUGUAAGACUGGGAUAACUCCGGGAACACCUGGGGCUAAUACCGGAUGCUUGAUUGAACCGCAUGGUUCAAUCAUAAAAGGUGGCUUUCAGCUACCACUUGCAGAUGGACCCGCGGCGCAUUAGCUAGUUGGUGAGGUAACGGCUCACCAAGGCGACGAUGCGUAGCCGACCUGAGAGGGUGAUCGGCCACACUGGGACUGAGACACGGCCCAGACUCCUACGGGAGGCAGCAGUAGGGAAUCUUCCGCAAUGGACGAAAGUCUGACGGAGCAACGCCGCGUGAGUGAUGAAGGUUUUCGGAUCGUAAAACUCUGUUGUUAGGGAAGAACAAGUACCGUUCGAAUAGGGCGGUACCUUGACGGUACCUAACCAGAAAGCCACGGCUAACUACGUGCCAGCAGCCGCGGUAAUACGUAGGUGGCAAGCGUUGUCCGGAAUUAUUGGGCGUAAAGCGCGCGCAGGCGGUUUCUUAAGUCUGAUGUGAAAGCCCCCGGCUCAACCGGGGAGGGUCAUUGGAAACUGGGGAACUUGAGUGCAGAAGAGGAGAGUGGAAUUCCACGUGUAGCGGUGAAAUGCGUAGAGAUGUGGAGGAACACCAGUGGCGAAGGCGACUCUCUGGUCUGUAACUGACGCUGAGGCGCGAAAGCGUGAGGAGCGAACAGGAUUAGAUACCCUGGUAGUCCACGCCGUAAACGAUGACUGCUAUUGUUUAGAGGGUUUCCGCCCUUUUACUGCUGCAACUAACGCAUUAAGCACUCCGCCUGCG
RNAcentral lists this ribosomal RNA (821 nucleotides) under Thermus sp. TA1. RNAcentral's name for it is "bacterial SSU rRNA". It matches the Rfam family "Bacterial small subunit ribosomal RNA", at positions 74 to 877 of the family's 1533-position model. The record is from RNAcentral. Lineage: Bacteria; Thermotogati; Deinococcota; Deinococci; Thermales; Thermaceae.